RNAcentral lists this unclassified non-coding RNA (2008 nucleotides) under uncultured fungus. RNAcentral's name for it is "sequence contains 18S rRNA gene, ITS1, 5.8S rRNA gene, ITS2, 28S rRNA gene". The stretch from base 942 to 2008 matches the Rfam family "Eukaryotic large subunit ribosomal RNA", at positions 1 to 961 of the family's 3401-position model. Lineage: Eukaryota; Fungi. The record is from RNAcentral.
GGAAGGAUCAUUAACACUUUUUGGCUAUUGUAUCGAACAUGGACGUGCUUUUUUUUGAGGUGUCUUGAAGUUCUCACAGGAGUGGCGCAGGUCUGAUCUUUCCUCAGAUACUGCAUGGUUUUCGAGAACCUGCUCAGUUGACAGAAGGACACCACACCUGUGCCACUCCUGUGAGAACCUCAAGACACCUCAACACAAGGGACGUCCAUGUUCGAUACAAUAGCCCACUUUUUAUAUGAUCUUUUAUCGGAUCAUAUUAUUGAAGGUGCUCUCGAAAGGGAGUGCCGACAAUUUUACACCCGUGUGAACUCGUUCGUUUGGCUAGCACCCCCUCAGCCUUGGGUCUCCCGCUUUAUGUCUGUCCGUAUCGGUGGAAACGGAUGGAGACCCUUGUGCUUAUAAUGUUGGUUCCACCGUUUGUUUUCAUUAACAAACCCCAUUCAACUUUUGAUCUGAAUCCCUUUCUCCAUUCACUCUCCUCUGUGAGAUGUCGAGUGUCGAGACAAAAACCAUAAUCCAUAACAACUGUUAACAAUGGAUAUCUUGGCUCUUGCAUCGAUGAAGAACGCAGCGAACUGCGAUACGUAAUGUGAAUUGCAGAACUCCGUGAAUCAUCAAAUCUUUGAACGCAAGUUGCGCCAUCCGGGGUUACACCUGGGGGCAUGCCUCUGUUUGAGUGUUAUCAACUCUUCUCAUUCCCUUCUCUCUUGCGGGAGCAUUGGAAUGGAUACUGAGAGUCACAGUUUUCAUUAAUUGUGUCUCUUGAAAUGCUACCGAAGGACAUAUCCAACAUUUGCCCUUUCGCAACUCUGACGUGGUAGUUUUUUUUUCUACAUCCGUGUGGAGAGAGAAAUACUUUCGUUUCAGUAUGUGAACUUGGGUCAAGGAGUCGUGUCCUUUGAGACUCACGAGAAAUUACACUCUGUCUCUAUUCAUGAGCAUAACCUCAAAUCAGGUAAGACUACCCGCUGAAUUUAAGCAUAUUAUUAAGCGGAGGAAAAGAAACUAACUAGGAUUCCCUUAGUAACGGCGAGUGAACCGGGAAGAGCUCAAGCCUAAAUCGGGGAGUCCUGCUCUUCGAAUUGCAGUCUAUUGAUCCGGUUUUGAUCGGGGUCCAGGUGGAAGUCCUUUGGAACAAGGCAUCAUAGAGGGUGAGAGUCCCGUACGCAAUCUGGUAACCCCCCGACAGUACAGACCGAGAUCAGAGAGUCGGGCUGCUUGGGAUCGCAGCUCUAAGUGGGUGGUAAAUUCCAUCUAAGGCUAAAUAAUGGCAAGAGACCGAUAGCGAACAAGUAGCGUGAGCGAAAGAUGAAAAGAACUUUGAAAAGAGAGUUAAAAAGUACUUGAAAUUGUUAACAGGUAAGCGAUUGCUAUCAGUGAUCAGAUCGGUCAUUGGCGUCGGCCGUGUCGGAAUGGCUCGGGGACACACGGCAGAAGGCCUUGGGGAAGGUGGCUUGCUUGAAUCUCGGUUCUCGCGAGUGUUAUAGACCUGAGAGCGGAUACCGGUGUAUGGACUGAGGACUCGGAAGCGCACGGCCCCUUUGCGGGGGCCUGGGAACGCGCCCGCCUGCCUGGUCAGUGGAAAGUCACAGAAUCUGUGGCGGACUGCGGCUUGGGUACAGUGGGAAGCGCCGCACGUUGCGUUGAAGAUGUUGACAAAAUGGUUGCAACCGACCCGUCUUGAAACACGGACCAAGGAGUCUAACGUAUGUGCGAGUGUUAGGGUGACAAACCCAUAACGCGUAAUGAAAGUGAAGGUCCCCUGCGGGGGCUUACGUGGGAACCUGCCUCUGGGCAGGCGCACCAUGGGCCGACCAUGAUCUUUGUGAGAAAGGUUUGAGCAAGAGCACAUCCGUCGGGACCCGAAAGAUGGUGAACUAUGCCUGAGUAGAGUGAGGCCAGAGGAAACUCUGGUGGAGGCUCGUAGCGGUACUGACGUGCAAAUCGUUCGUCAAACUUGGGUAUAGGGGCGAAAGACUAAUCGAACCAUCUAGUAGCUGGUUCCCUC